This 930-nucleotide small RNA is filed under the name Arabidopsis thaliana (thale cress). RNAcentral describes it as "ncRNA (TAS1A)". The record is from RNAcentral. Lineage: Eukaryota; Viridiplantae; Streptophyta; Magnoliopsida; Brassicales; Brassicaceae.
AUAAACCUAAACCCCUAAGCGGCUAAGCCUGACGUCAUAUACCAAAAAGAGUAAACAUGAGCGCCGUCAAGCUCUGCAAGUACAAUCUCAUCUUAACUCAAAAGUUGAGAUAGGUUCUUAGAUCAGGUUCCGCCUUUAGAUCGAGUCAUGGUCUUGUCUGAUAGAAAGGUACUUUCUUUUACUUCUCUUGAUUAGCGUCUAUAGCUAGAUUGAGAUCGAGUUUGUGAGAUGUUAGGUUCGAUAUCCCUGUCUAUUUGUCACCAGCCAUGUAGGAGUUUCGUCCCUUCCCCUCCCGUCGCCCUCUCUGUUUUUGGUAUUCAUUGGAAUACGGAGAUAUAUUUUCAAGAGGAGAAAUAUUGUUUUGUUGUGAUUUUUCUCUACAAGCGAAUGAGUCAUUCAUCCUAAGUCCAACAUAGCGUUCGAUAAGAUCUUAGAAAAUUAUUUUAAGUCUAACAUAGCGUUUGAUUGGAUCUUAGGAAAUUAUUCUAAGUCCAACAUAGCGUAGAGAAAUGGAAGAUAUCGUGAAUGAUAUUUGUAGUAAUGGCGAAACUAGAAAAAGCAUUGGAUAUAUUCUAGGAUAUGCAAAAGUUAUCCUUGAAUAUGUUCACAUUAAAUGUUAUUUUCUACUUAAUGAACAGUUGAUGAUACAAUUAUUUUCUUUAAAAUUGUUUCCGUGUAACCAAAACAUAUUUCAGUAUAUGCAAAAUAAAAAAUGGAUGUUGGUAUUCUUAUUUUGCAAGGCUUGUAAUGGGUGUUGUGUAGUCUCUUUUACAAGGUGUUGUGAAGUCUACAUGAAGCAAGUCAGCUAAUUACAUGCAUCUUUCACAUUGUAAUUAAUUUGAUUUCAAUUUUGUAAUUUUAUUUGCUUUUGUGUACCAAAGCUGAAAUCAAAUUGUUUACAAUUUCAAUAUAAAUGAUAUAAUUUUUACA